GGAACUUUUUGUGUCUCCUGAAUUUUUUCACAAUAAGCAUAUACUCAUUUUGUAACCAGAAAAAAAAGAAACUGUACAUCUAAAAUGUAAUGAUGAUGAGGCUUAGGUAGAAACACAGAAAAAAGAAUUUUCUGAGAGAACUUUUCCUGGGAGAUGGAGCAGGAUAACAUGAGCUUCUGGUCAUCCAACAGAGUAGCAGGUGGACAGACUGGAGCUAACCCAGGAGGUGGAUGGAAAGAAAGCUAGCAGAGGCUGGUGGUGGGGAGGGUGGUGGUCUGCAGCCUAAAUCCUAUGUUCCAGUCUAAGGGCCUGAUGAAGAAGUUGUUGCUUCCUGAACAUUCCAUAUGAGGCCUCCAUGCCCAUGAUGGAGGGUCUUCCAACAUUGCUAGCAGUGGACACUCCUUGGCCAAGAGCAAGAAGCCACUGAGUGCAUUCUGGAAAGUGCAAACCAAGAGCACCCUGAGUUUGUUGACUAAAAAUAUUAUUUGUGUAAAAUAUUUUUCUUGUGCUAAUGUUCUCACGCCUGGCUUUCAAGAAGGGUCUGCCUCACUUCGGAGUUGUCACUUAUUAGCAUCAUUAUGGAAGGCAGAGACGGACAUCAAACCCAGCCUCUCCCAUUUAUCUCCCAGCCAUUCCCAGGUACUGAGGGCAGGGAAGCCUUCACAGCCUUGCCCCUCUCUCAUCCUUUCCAUCCUCCAGCUCAUUAGUCGGUCCUGCUAAUUUUUCCCUACUCGCUCACCUUGGGGGUCCCAACUUGGAGGAAGCCUUCUGGAUUCUGAGCCUCAGGCCUCCUUCAGGGGCCCAUACCCCCCUGUUGGGUCCCAUGGUAGAGCCCUUGUCACACAGCACCGGCACAUCAGCUCGCUGGUCCCCUGCCCAUCUUCUGGAGGCCACAGCGCCUGGAGGGUGGUUCACAGGUGUCCUCUGUUCAAGACCCCAGCACAAUGCUUCACCUAGGACAGGUGACAAGCAAGCGAGUGAGUGAGCAAAUGAAUGCAUGAAUAAAGGAAUGAAUGAACAAACAAAUGCACUUUUUUUUCCCUCUGCAAGAUAUUUUAGGAUGAGAGCUCUCUUACCUAAUGCAAGAGCAGAAGCUUAUUCUGGAAUGUUCAGAAAAGUACAGAGGAUUUACUUGAGUUAAGUCUCCUGCUUUGCUUUGGUCCCUUUAACACGCCUUUGAAUCCCCUGGAGGACGGUUCUUUUCCCAGAUCCCCCUCUAUCUCCCCAGGAUCUAAGGUCUCCAGGCAUUUUUGUGGCAUGAAUAAAUGAAUCAAUGAAUGUGUGAAUGUCACUUCUCUGUUUCCUUCCUGUGAAAAGCUUGCAGCUCUAAGGGCCUCCAAAGUAAAGUAUCACAAGAGAAUGUCACCUCUCAACAAACUGUGAACAACUUUGAAAGAAAAAAGAAAUAGCGAUUGAGAAUCACGUAAGCAGCCUCAGCAUCAGCGGACAUCCUGAAAUUAGUGCUGGCCUGAAAUAGGUGCUUUUAUCACGAGUCUCAAAGUGGUAAAUCAACCAGGGAGUGAGUGAACGCGUGGGGAAAUGGAAGGGAACCCCCACAGGCACGAAGGGCGACUCCAGGUGUCUGGCAAAUGCCUUUGCAUCCACAGGAAAGUUGUCUCUAAUGCGGGGCUAUCGUCUGGCCAAAACCUCUUAUUUAAAGUCCAGCCUCAUGUAUGAUGUGAUGCUCUGACGCCCGCUGAGGCUGUCAGACUUGUGCAGGUCACUUAACCCCCUGAUGCUCAGUUGUCCCAGCCACACAAUUAGAAGUGUGGGAAUAGAGUGCUUGCCUAGAAGGGUUGUUAUAGAUUUUAAAUAAGUUCAUGAAUACGAAGCCAGUGCAGGGCUUGGUCCUCAAUAAUCAGUCGAUGCACUUGAACAAUGUUUUCAGGACAAUCACAGUCAUUCUAACAUCAGGACAGGACAGGCAAUUAUCAGGGGCUCCAUUUAUUUUACCUGCACUUUGUUUGUUUGUUUGUUUUGCUUUUUAGGGCCGCGCCUGCGGCAUACGGAGGUUCCCAGGCUAGGGGUCUAAUCAGAGCUACAGCUGCCAGCCUACACCCCCGCCACAGCAACGCCAGAUCCGAGCCACAUCUGUGACCUACAACACAGCUCAUGGCAAGGCCAUAUCCUUAACCCUCUGAGCGAGGCCAGGGAUUGAACCGACAACUUCAUGGUUCCUAGUUGGAUUCGUUUCCACUGCGCCACAAGGGGAACUCCAUGUUUUACUUUCAAUUUUUGCAACAGUGCCCAACAGUAAAUAUCCCUCUUCUCAUUUUGCUGAGGAGAAACCCAAAACACAGAGGGUUCCACAGUUCACAAGACUGCACAGCGUGUAGCAGCUAAACUGGGAAUUUAACUCUGGUGAAGUCACUCCUCCGUGUUCACACAGCAAACGGCAGAACCAAGAUGUGAAACAGCUUUAAGUGGAUGCAGAAGCUCAGACCAUGCCUAUCAGCUCAGAAUGGGUGGUGUCAAUGCAAAACUUAAAAAAAGACAAUCCCUGUAAUAAAAUGAUCAGCAAUUGUAGCUUGUAAUGUACAUAUUCAAGAGCAAUCAGCAGACCAGAAUACAAGUAUAAAUAAGCCUCUAAGAAGCUCCCAAUCCUAGUACGGAAGGUAAAGUAAGGUUAUCAAUAACUACAAGACAGACAGUACAGAGAAUGCGUUUUGAACAUCCUGGAGUUUGUGGAGAGACACGAGCUUGAAGUGCAAUAACCAGAACAGACACAAGAAAGUGGAGCUGGAAGGGUGGAUGGGGUUGCAAAGAGGGAGUUCCCUGGUGCCCUAGGGGGUUAAGGACCUUGCAUUGUCACUGCUGUGGAGGGGGUUCAAUCCCUGGUCUGGGACUAUCUUCAUGCAGCAGGAGUAGAUAAGAUAAAUAAAAUGAGAUUCCGGGUGAAGGGAUCUGAGAGCACGGGGACUCCAGAAGCCUGGUGCCUGGCUCCACCCUGGUCGGAGAGGGGAGGAUGCUGAAGGAGUAGGAAGGAGUCAGGGACCAAGGGGCUUGGCCCCCAUGUUAAAGGUGACAGGAAUCCCCCACAGACCUGGGAAUCAUCAGGUCACAGGUGGAACUUGCGGGGCAGCAAAACCAGGAAACCAAGGAGCAUUGUAUGUAGUCUCCUUGAGCUAAACCUCCUGCUGGUGGAGACCCAGGGAGGGAGGAAGCCAAGGGCCUUGUUGACAGUCAGGAGCAGUAAGAGGAGACAGCGAGAUCCGUCUGCUGAUUAUAAUGAGCCUCUGAAGUGCCCCUCACCACAUCUGGAGGGGGCUCGGCCGCCCUCGUGCCUCCGUGCAGUGGGGCGUCUGGGUCUAUUUUAGGAAGCUGGAUUUGCAGCUCCAGGAGCUGAUAACCAACCU
RNAcentral lists this long non-coding RNA (3356 nucleotides) under Sus scrofa (pig). Its description in RNAcentral is "lncRNA (ENSSSCG00015063604.1)". Lineage: Eukaryota; Metazoa; Chordata; Mammalia; Artiodactyla; Suidae. The record is from RNAcentral.